GCCAGCAUGGUGUAUUGGUUUGAGCAUUAGACUGCAACUCUAGAGACCAGGGUUCAAUUCCUUGCUUAGCCA
Molecule: non-coding RNA, 72 nt
Organism: Phrynosoma platyrhinos (Desert horned lizard)
Lineage: Eukaryota; Metazoa; Chordata; Lepidosauria; Squamata; Phrynosomatidae
Source: the annotation of a GenBank genome assembly